GAACCGUGCGAACGUUGUUCGGAAUCACUGGGCUUAAAGGGCGCGUAGGCGGCCUGCCAAGUCAGGGGUGAAAUCUUUCGGCUCAACCGGAAAAGUGCCUUUGAUACUGGCAGGCUUGAGGGAGGUAGGGGCAUGUGGAACUGGUGGUGGAGCGGUGAAAUGCGUUGAUAUCACUAGGAACGCCGGUGGCGAAAGCGACGUGCUGGCCCUCUUCUGACGCUGAGGCGCGAAAGCCAGGGUAGCGAACGGGGGAUUAGAUACCCCGGUAGUCCUGGCCCUAAACGAUGGGUACUAGGUAGUGGACUUAACAUGGGUUCACUGCCGAAGCAAAAGUGUUAAGAACCCCGCCUGGGGAGUAUGGUCGCAAGGCUG
This 372-nucleotide ribosomal RNA is filed under the name uncultured organism. Its description in RNAcentral is "partial 16S ribosomal RNA". It matches the Rfam family "Bacterial small subunit ribosomal RNA", at positions 527 to 896 of the family's 1533-position model. The record is from RNAcentral.